UACGUAGGUGGCAAGCGUUGUCCGGAUUUACUGGGCGUAAAGAGCGCGCAGGCGGUCGUUCAAGUCGCGUGUGAAAGCCCCCGGCUCAACUGGGGAGGGUCACGCGAUACUGAUCGACUCGAAGGCAGGAGAGGGAAGUGGAAUUCCCGGUGUAGUGGUGAAAUGCGUAGAUAUCGGGAGGAACACCAGUGGCGAAGGCGGCUCUCUGGACAGGUACUGACACUGAGACGCGAAAGCGUGGGUAGCAAACAGG
RNAcentral lists this ribosomal RNA (253 nucleotides) under uncultured bacterium. Its description in RNAcentral is "partial 16S ribosomal RNA". It matches the Rfam family "Bacterial small subunit ribosomal RNA", at positions 524 to 776 of the family's 1533-position model. The record is from RNAcentral.